This 67-nucleotide microRNA precursor is filed under the name Drosophila simulans. Its description in RNAcentral is "Dsi-Mir-281-P1-v1_pre stem-loop". It matches the Rfam family "mir-46/mir-47/mir-281 microRNA precursor family", at positions 14 to 75 of the family's 85-position model. From Rfam's summary of the family: The hairpin precursors (represented here) are predicted based on base pairing and cross-species conservation -- their extents are not known. Lineage: Eukaryota; Metazoa; Arthropoda; Insecta; Diptera; Drosophilidae. The record is from RNAcentral.
AAAGAGAGCUGUCCGUCGACAGUCCAGAAAGCAUUUAAUAUCACUGUCAUGGAAUUGCUCUCUUUGU